UUUCCAUCAGCAAGUACACGUGGACUGCCUAAGCAAGAAUGGUACGCCAAUUAACGAUGGAGAGAAAUGUGCCUUGAUGGUUGUCGUCGAAGAAAGGAAAGAGAACGUUAAAGAGACGUGUAUGGAAGGAGUUUGCAGGAAUGGCACCUGUACCAACAUCAAUAAAACCGACUGCUCUAAUAACAAAUGAAAACAAACGGCGCGAAGGAGUCCAGUACGCCAUUUCAAUAAAAGCUCUUGUAAGGGCGUUGUUGUGUUUACUGAAGGUAAAAGCUUUCAAUUGAAAUG
Molecule: long non-coding RNA, 288 nt
Organism: Rhipicephalus sanguineus (brown dog tick)
Lineage: Eukaryota; Metazoa; Arthropoda; Arachnida; Ixodida; Ixodidae
Exons: 2
Source: RefSeq, a predicted model, not a curated record